RNAcentral lists this ribosomal RNA (253 nucleotides) under uncultured bacterium. RNAcentral's name for it is "partial 16S ribosomal RNA". It matches the Rfam family "Bacterial small subunit ribosomal RNA", at positions 524 to 776 of the family's 1533-position model. The record is from RNAcentral.
UACGUAGGUGGCAAGCGUUGUCCGGAUUUACUGGGCGUAAAGAGCGCGCAGGCGGUUAUUCAAGUCGAAUGUGAAAGCCCCCGGCUUAACUGGGGAGGGUCAUUCGAUACUGUUUAACUUGAAGGCAGGAGAGGGUAGUGGAAUUCCCGGUGUAGUGGUGAAAUGCGUAGAUAUCGGGAGGAACACCAGUGGCGAAGGCGACUACCUGGCCUGUUCUUGACGCUGAGGCGCGAAAGCUAGGGGAGCGAACGGG